ACGAAGGAUCCAAGCGUUAUCCGGAUUCAUUGGGUUUAAAGGGUGCGUAGGCGGUUUUGUAAGUCAGUGGUGAAAUCUCUCAGCUUAACUGAGAAACUGCCAUUGAUACUGCAGAACUAGAGUACAGAUGACGUUGGCGGAAUGUGUCAUGUAGCGGUGAAAUGCAUAGAUAUGACACAGAACACCGAUUGCGAAGGCAGCUGACGAAACUGCAACUGACGCUGAUGCACGAAAGUGCGGGGAUCAAACAGGA
Molecule: ribosomal RNA, 253 nt
Filed under: uncultured prokaryote
Description: partial 16S ribosomal RNA
Rfam family: Bacterial small subunit ribosomal RNA
Source: RNAcentral